This 508-nucleotide long non-coding RNA is filed under the name Lactuca sativa (garden lettuce). RNAcentral's name for it is "long non-coding RNA (LSAT_LNC008632)". Lineage: Eukaryota; Viridiplantae; Streptophyta; Magnoliopsida; Asterales; Asteraceae. The record is from RNAcentral.
UUGAACAGGCCAGGAAAAAGUUAAAAAUACGAAAAAAUGAAAACAAAUAAUAAAAUUCAAAUACAAAUAAAAUGAAUAAAUUAAAUAUACGAAAAAAUUAAAAUAUAAUAUGAAAACAAAUAUGAAAAAAACUAAAAAAAUACUCACAUGUUAAAACUAAAAUUAAAAUUUACUACAAAAAUGCACAUACAUAAAUUUAUAAUAAAAUAAAACAUUCAAAUGAAUAUAUGAAUAAUCAAACGUUAAUAUUCAUAUNUGUGAGAACGUAAAAACAUUAUUUUUAUAUUAUUAUUCUGCAAUGAAUUUUGUAUCCACAACUUUAUAUCAUUAAUCAACAAUGAAUAAAUGAGUAAUCACACAUUAAACUAAAAUUAGAAUUUACUACAAAAAUAUAGGCACGUAAACUUAUAAUACAAUAAUAACAUUUUAAUGAAUCUAUGAAUAAUCAAACGUUAAUAUUCAUAUUAGAAUUACUUCAAUAAUACACAUAUAUAAUAUUCAUUGCAGA